Molecule: long non-coding RNA, 496 nt
Organism: Centruroides sculpturatus (bark scorpion)
Lineage: Eukaryota; Metazoa; Arthropoda; Arachnida; Scorpiones; Buthidae
Exons: 3
Source: RefSeq, a predicted model, not a curated record
UAUAUAUUAUGUUACACCAUUCAUUGCAGCGUUUGCAGCAUUUUUUGAAUCGAAUCGUUAGAAAAGUAAACAGAAAUGCUCAUCAAUUUGAAAAAGUCAUUCAGAAGCACUUUCAUUUAUUGUUUUUUAUUCAAAAAAUGAACGAAACUGGACAGAUUCUUUUUCCCAUUUGUUAUGGCUUUUGUAUAUGUUUUACUUGCUUUUCUUUCUUCAUUGCAAUCAUGUUUGAUUUGGAGACAAACAUUAAGAUAUUUUGGGUAAUCUUGUCCAUUAUAUCGUUAUGUAUAGUCUUUUUAAGUGCUUAUGGACUAUCCAGAAUUACUGCAGCAAUUAGUUUAUGGUAAUUACUGUGAUUGCAAUGUUCUUUCUAAUGUUGAGUUUCCUCUUAUCUACAAGUUGAAGAUCUUGAACUUCAUGAAAAGAUUUGCGAGAUUUCCAAUUGGUCUGAAUUUCGAAGGAUUCUUUUUCAUCAAAAAAACAUUCGUUAUAAGGGUAA